This 175-nucleotide ribosomal RNA is filed under the name Osteocephalus oophagus (oophagous slender-legged treefrog). Its description in RNAcentral is "partial 16S ribosomal RNA". Lineage: Eukaryota; Metazoa; Chordata; Amphibia; Anura; Hylidae. The record is from RNAcentral.
ACGUGAUCUGAGUUCAGACCGGAGUAAUCCAGGUCAGUUUCUAUCUAUAAAGGAAGUUUUUCUAGUACGAAAGGACCGAAAAAACAUGGCCUAUACUUUAUGCAAGCCAUAAUUAUUAACUUAUGACUAAAUCUUAAUAAGCACUUUAUCCACUACAAACCUCAAGAAAAGAGGA